GGAAGGAUCAUUCCACAUUUUCUGUGCUGGCUUUGGCUGGUACAACCCCCCCUCUACACGUGUUGUCUGGGGUCGUCUCGCUUCGGUGGGGCUCCUCUCUGAGCGCAAGCUCAGAACAACCCUUUUUAUGGUGCCCAGUUGGAACCAUGAAUGUUGCCAUAAACAAAAAAGCCAAGACUUUUAGCAACGGAUACCUUGGCUCCCACAACGAUGAAGAACGCAGCGAAACGCGAUAACUAGUGCGAAUUGCAGAGUUCAGUGAAUCAUCGAGAUUUUGAACGCAUCUGGCGCCUUCGGGUUACUCCUGGAGGCACACCUCUUUCAGUAUCGCCUACCCACCUAAACCGGUUCCCCCUUUUUUGAGGGGGGAUUGGCUUGGAAGAAUGGAAGUUGGACCCGCUCCAUCUUCUCAAGGUUUUGUGUACAGGCGUUGAUCCCUGUGUGUUCUUUGAAAGUAGUUGUUCAAUUGCAGUCAAUGGAACCUUGGGAUAUUCUACAGCGCCCUAGGAUGCGGUCUCCUCUCAGGAGGGAUCCAUCAGCUCUUUACAUUUGAUCUGAGAUGAGGUGAGAUUACCCGCUGGAUUUAAGCAUAUAAUUAAGCGGAGGAAAAGAAACUAAACAGGAUUGCCCUAGUAACAGCGAGUGAAGCGGCAAUAGCUCAAGCCUGGAAUCUUUUUCAGUCUCUGGAAAAGAAUUGUGGUCUAGAGAGUUUUCGCCAGCGUGUGGCCCCAGCCUAAAUCUGCUGGAAAGCAGUGGCAGAGAGGGUGACACCCCCGUCCGCAGCUGGGAGUCCGCCGCGUACGGCAGAACCUCUAAGAGUCGGGUUGCUUGGGAGUGCAGCCUGAAGCGGGUGGUAAAUUCCAUCCAAAGCUAAAUACCUGUGGGAGACCGAUAGCGCACAAGUACCGUGAGGGAAAGGUGAAAAGGACUUUGAAAAGAGAGUCAAAAGUACUUGAAAUUGCUAAAAGCAAUCGAUAGGGACUAGUGCAUCGGUCGGCGUAGGUCUCUGUUUGUGGAUACAGGUAGUCUGGGGCGUCCUUGAAUGGGCGUUCGGAUGUGCAGUGUCCCGAGCUUAAAGCCUGCGUCGCGGGUCACCUGGGAUUGUGGCCGCGGGAGAAUGGGGUGGCGGUGGUAGGUGUGUGAGCGAUUACGCGAUCCCCGAAUACGUCCCCUGAUACCGUAGCUGUGAUUCAUUCUGGUGACGAAAUGGUCUCUAUCGGCCCGUCUUGAAACACGGACCAAGGAGUCUAGCGUAUAUGCGAGUAUUUGGGUGGCAAACCCGAAUGCGGAAUGAAAGUGAAGGCAAGCUUUGGUUUGCUGAGAUGCCAACCCGUUACUGGGCGCAGCAUCGCCCGGCCUGUCCAUUAGUGUUAGGUCCGAGGUCGAGCAUAUCCGUUAGGACCCGAAAGAUGGUGAACUAUACCUGAGCAGGGUGAAGCCAGGGGAAACUCUGGUGGAAGCUCGUAGCGAUACUGACGUGCAAAUCGUUCGUCGGACUUGGGUAUAGGGGCGAAAGACUAAUCGAACCAUCUAGUAGCUGGUUCCCUC
This 1548-nucleotide unclassified non-coding RNA is filed under the name uncultured fungus. RNAcentral describes it as "sequence contains 18S rRNA gene, ITS1, 5.8S rRNA gene, ITS2, 28S rRNA gene". The stretch from base 551 to 1548 matches the Rfam family "Eukaryotic large subunit ribosomal RNA", at positions 1 to 961 of the family's 3401-position model. Lineage: Eukaryota; Fungi. The record is from RNAcentral.